This 189-nucleotide ribosomal RNA is filed under the name uncultured bacterium. Its description in RNAcentral is "partial 16S ribosomal RNA". It matches the Rfam family "Bacterial small subunit ribosomal RNA", at positions 338 to 524 of the family's 1533-position model. The record is from RNAcentral.
CCUACGGGAGGCAGCAGUGAGGAAUAUUGGUCAAUGGAGGCAACUCUGAACCAGCCACGUCGCGUGAAGGAUGACGGCCCUACGGGUUGUAAACUUCUUUUAUACGAGAAUAAAGUGAGUCACGUGUGAUUUUUUGCAUGUACUGUAUGAAUAAGGAUCGGCUAACUCCGUGCCAGCAGCCGCGGUAAU